GGUCGGUUAGCUCAGUUGGUUAGAGCAUCGCAAUAACAUUUCUUCUCUUCCGAGAAGAUAUACCUGCGAAGGUCAUAGGUUCAAUCCCCAUACUGACCA
Non-coding RNA from Xylariaceae sp. FL1272, 99 nucleotides. NCBI's taxonomy places the organism in Eukaryota, Fungi, Ascomycota, Sordariomycetes, Xylariales, Xylariaceae. The record is from the annotation of a GenBank genome assembly.